UUAUAUACUAACCAAUCUUUUUCUACUCCAAACUUAAAACUCAGAAUUCUCUCCCUCCUCUCUUAUUUCAAUUCACGCGAUAAAACCUUAAUCCAGGAGCAGAGGCUCGAGAUCAUCUUCCACAAAUUGAUAUGUCUUCUCUUUACCGGGGAAUGUCCAGGAAAGACAAACCCAGAGGGCGGCCCCAUGGGUUAACUCAACAGAAAAAGCAGGAGAUUAAAGAAGCUUUUGAACUUUUUGAUACCGAUGGAUCUGGAACAAUUGAUGCAAAAGAGCUGAAUGUUGCAAUGAGGGCUCUUGGUUUUGAAAUGUCUGAAGAGGUAAUGGCUUAUUUUUAAUAUCUGUUCUGGUGGUUACUCUC
Molecule: long non-coding RNA, 361 nt
Organism: Salvia splendens (bonfire salvia)
Lineage: Eukaryota; Viridiplantae; Streptophyta; Magnoliopsida; Lamiales; Lamiaceae
Exons: 4
Source: RefSeq, a predicted model, not a curated record